Molecule: long non-coding RNA, 187 nt
Organism: Solanum verrucosum
Lineage: Eukaryota; Viridiplantae; Streptophyta; Magnoliopsida; Solanales; Solanaceae
Exons: 3
Source: RefSeq, a predicted model, not a curated record
GACGAACUCUGUAUCACAUAAUUGUACACAAAGUUACCAAGGAAAGUGGUUCAUCACGUUGGCUGUUAUGUCUUUCACAUGCUAAAGAUUUCAGGGCUAAUUUUGGAGAGAAUCAAAAGGAGAAGAUUUUCUUCACACAAGCUCCGACUCUACCAAAGCCAAAGCUCCCCUGAAGAAUGACUCAGAC